AGUCGUUUGAAUACACUCUGGGGUCAAGUUUUUUCUCUGUACUAGGUUCCAAUUUAAAUUUCAAACAAGAUCAAUUGACAACUUACUCACCAAGAUACGCCGGUUAUGUUUCUAUAUAUGGUGAAGUUAACUUCGAGUUAAAUUCAUUUGGCUAUAUUGGUCCAUUUUCAGUGUCAUACAU
Molecule: small nucleolar RNA, 181 nt
Filed under: Tetrapisispora phaffii CBS 4417
Lineage: Eukaryota; Fungi; Ascomycota; Saccharomycetes; Saccharomycetales; Saccharomycetaceae
Description: Small nucleolar RNA snR80
Rfam family: Small nucleolar RNA snR80
Source: Rfam by way of RNAcentral